ACUCUCUAGUUAGUGAUCGUGAGAGACAGGUUUUUAUAGGACAACUACGAAUGGUUAGAAGAAUAAAGAUGAAAAAUGUAGCCCGAAGAAGAAGGAAAAUAUAUUUCAAACUAUGUUGUUUUCUUUAUGAGAUUUGCAUUAGUUUUUUUGUGUCUUCUAUGGUUUAUCUUCUUAUAUAUUUACUUAGCUAGAACAAAAAACUGUUAUGGGA
This 211-nucleotide long non-coding RNA is filed under the name Elaeis guineensis (African oil palm). RNAcentral's name for it is "long non-coding RNA (EGUI_LNC045304)". The record is from RNAcentral. Lineage: Eukaryota; Viridiplantae; Streptophyta; Magnoliopsida; Arecales; Arecaceae.